AGUGUAUAAUAUAUAUCAGAUUAUACAAUAAUCCAAUUAAAUAAUCAUAUAUACUGCAUGUAUGUUUGUAUCAAUAUUUGACAUAGAUGCUGCAGUUAUUAAAGAAAAGGUGAAAUCAGCCCCUGUAAAGAAAGGUAAAAAUGUUUUCAAAUCUGUGGUUAAUAUGUAAUUUGAUAGUGCUUGAUAGAGGCUGAAAGUCACUAUUUUACUGAGAAGCUGAAUUUAGCAGUGAGAAGACCAAACCAGCUCUUGCAAAAAAAUAAUGAAAUGGCCCAAUUCUUUAGAUUCAUUUUGUGUCUUCUCCAAUGAUUGUUUUAGAAGCUGAAAUUCACAAAGAAAACGCCAAAGCAGCUUCAUCAAAGAAAGGUAUGGAUAACUUUUUUCUUUAGACUUGAAACAAAAAACGCUAGUCUUACUCUAAAUAGAUGUCUGCCACAGAGUGUGCUUCAUUUCUCUCUCAACCAAAUACUCAGUAUGGGUUUGAAUCAAUUGCAGUUUGAACCUUUGCUGUAUAUGUUAUCAUUCUUGUUUGAUUAGAGUCCAAGGAAACUAAGGAACAAGCCAAACCAGAGCCUUCAAAAGAAGGUACAGAUAGGAUGUUUUUUUCUGGCUUCAAAAUGUAUAAUGGCGCAAUUCUUGAGAUUCAUGUUGUGUCUUGUCCAAUGAUUGUUUUAGACAGUGAAGUUCCCAAAGAACAAACCAUAGCAGCUACAUCAAAGAAAGAUGCUGAAGCAAAAGAAAAGGCCAAAUUAGCUCCAGAAAAGAAAGAUGCUGCAGUUAUUAAAGAAAAGAUCAAAUCAGCUCCUGCAAAGAAAGGUAAGAAUGUGGUUAGUAUGUAAUUAGGAAUUUGUUAUAAUAUUUGUUUGCAUUGUGUUGUAUUUAUUAUAUUCACGGCAUAUUUUUUGUUACUUUCAUUGUUUAUAAAUGUUUAUAAUCUCUUCCAAAUUUGACAAAUCUAAAUUCAGAGUUAGCAAUUGAAAAUGCAAACACUACUGUAAAUAGUUCUGGAUAAGAGUGUCAGUUAAAUUACAUAUUUUGUAAAUGUAAUAUAAAGAUUGAGGUGAAAACAAC
This is a long non-coding RNA of Oncorhynchus kisutch (coho salmon), 1071 nucleotides long. NCBI's taxonomy places the organism in Eukaryota, Metazoa, Chordata, Actinopteri, Salmoniformes, Salmonidae. The record is from Ensembl.